RNAcentral lists this ribosomal RNA (824 nucleotides) under uncultured organism. RNAcentral describes it as "bacterial SSU rRNA". It matches the Rfam family "Bacterial small subunit ribosomal RNA", at positions 637 to 1474 of the family's 1533-position model. The record is from RNAcentral.
UAAUCUUGAGUACAGUUGAGGCGAGUGGAAUGUGUAGUGUAGCGGUGAAAUGCAUAGAUACUACACAGAACACCAAUUGCGAAGGCAGCUCGCUAAGCUGUUACUGACGCUCAGGCACGAAAGCGUGGGGAGCGAACAGGAUUAGAUACCCUGGUAGUCCACGCUGUAAACUAUGAUCACUAGCUGUUGGCGAUAAAUUGUCAGUGGCUCAGCGAAAGCGUUAAGUGAUCCACCUGGGGAGUACGAUCGCAAGGUUGAAACUCAAAGGAAUUGACGGGGGCCCGCACAAGCGGUGGAACAUGUGGUUUAAUUCGAUGAUACGCGAGGAACCUUACCUGGGCUUAAAUGUAGCGCGACGUCUCGAGAAAUCGGGAUUCCCUUCGGGGCGAACUACAAGGUGCUGCAUGGUUGUCGUCAGCUCGUGCCGUGAGGUAUCGGGUUAAGUCCCAUAACGAGCGCAACCCUUAUUGUUAGUUGCCAGCGGAUAAUGCCGGGGACUCUAACAAAACUGCCCGUGUAAACGGGAGGAAGGUGGGGAUGACGUCAAAUCAGCACGGCCCUUAUGUCCAGGGCUACACACGUGUUACAAUGGCUGGAACAAAGGGCAGCUACCACGCAAGUGGAUGCUAAUCUCUAAAUCCAGUCCCAGUUCGGAUCGAAGUCUGCAAUUCGACUUCGUGAAGAUGGAAUCGCUAGUAAUCGCGCAUCAGCAAUGGCGCGGUGAAUAUGUUCCCGGGCCUUGUACACACUGCCCGUCAAGCCAUGGAAGUUAGUAGUACCUGAAGUCCGUAACCGAAAGGAGCGGCCUAGGGUAAGACUAAUGA